This 470-nucleotide small RNA is filed under the name Rattus norvegicus (Norway rat). Its description in RNAcentral is "ubiquitin and ribosomal protein L40-like (LOC100359711)". The record is from RNAcentral. Lineage: Eukaryota; Metazoa; Chordata; Mammalia; Rodentia; Muridae.
UGUACACUACAAGCAGUUGACACCAUCAGCUCUCUCUAGGAGGUCCCACUUCAUGCCUACCUGUGCCCUCCCUACCUUUAUGAAGACAUCUGGGAGAAUCUUCACAUCUAUUGCCAUCAGGGAAGGCAUACCGGAGCUGGGAGUCUGUGUGACUUUUCUUAAAUUAAGUGAGUGUGAAAAGAAGAGGGUUAAGGUCCAGUUUGAAUCAAACACUUCCUAUGUGAGAGUCCUGUGGAUUUCAUGAUGGUGAGUGUGAGGCACAGCUUAAACAGAGAUGUAAAAGGCUGCAGGGAAAAGGGAAAAAUCGAGAACAAAAUGGAUUUCAAGGAGAUGCUGCUGGGUGCAGCUGUUACUGCAUUUUAAAGAGUCACUUACUUUAAUUGAGGGGGCAAUAGAAUAAUAAUACUGUGCAAUAAUGAUGUGCCUUUGUAUGAGACACUUGGAAACCUCCCCAUGCAUGAUGCAAUGUG